AGCAGCCGCGGUAAUUCCAGCUCCAAUAGCGUAUAUUAAAGUUGUUGCAGUUAAAAAGCUCGUAGUUGAAUUUCGGGAUCAAUUAAUUGGUCGUGCCUAUGGUACGUACUGAUUUUAUUGGUUUCUCCCUUCUGACGAACCAUGAUGUCAUUAAUUUGGUGUCGUGAAGAAUCAGGACUGUUACUUUGAAAAAAUUAGAGUGUUUAAAGCAAGCUAACGCUUGAAUACAUUAGCAUGGAAUAAUGAAAUAGGACGUUUGAUCCUAUUUUGUUGGUUUCUAGGAUCGACGUAAUGAUUAAUAGGGAUAGUUGGGGGCAUUAGUAUUCAAUUGUCAGAGGUGAAAUUCUUGGAUUUAUUGAAGACUAACUACUGCGAAAGCAUUUGCCAAGGAUGUUUUCAUUAAUCAAGAACGAAAGUUAGGGGAUCGAAGACGAUCAGAUACCGUCGUAGUCUUAACCAUAAACUAUGCCGACUAGGGAUCGGAUGAUGUUAAUUUUUUUAAUGACUCAUUCGGCGCCUU
This 520-nucleotide ribosomal RNA is filed under the name uncultured Glomus. RNAcentral's name for it is "SSU rRNA". It matches the Rfam family "Eukaryotic small subunit ribosomal RNA", at positions 569 to 1089 of the family's 1831-position model. Lineage: Eukaryota; Fungi; Glomeromycota; Glomeromycetes; Glomerales; Glomeraceae. The record is from RNAcentral.